UCUUAACUGACUUGUAAGUCGCUCUGGAUAAGAGCGUCUGCUAAAUGACUUAAU
Molecule: non-coding RNA, 54 nt
Organism: Salmo salar (Atlantic salmon)
Lineage: Eukaryota; Metazoa; Chordata; Actinopteri; Salmoniformes; Salmonidae
Source: Rfam